RNAcentral lists this ribosomal RNA (124 nucleotides) under Micrococcus luteus. RNAcentral describes it as "partial 16S ribosomal RNA". It matches the Rfam family "Bacterial small subunit ribosomal RNA", at positions 1419 to 1533 of the family's 1533-position model. Lineage: Bacteria; Bacillati; Actinomycetota; Actinomycetes; Micrococcales; Micrococcaceae. The record is from RNAcentral.
ACCCGAAGCCGGUGGCCUAACCCUUGUGGGGGGAGCCGUCGAAGGUGGGACCAGCGAUUGGGACUAAGUCGUAACAAGGUAGCCGUACCGGAAGGUGCGGCUGGAUCACCUCCUUUCUAAGGAG